This 161-nucleotide non-coding RNA is filed under the name Schistosoma curassoni. RNAcentral describes it as "Microsporidia small subunit ribosomal RNA". It matches the Rfam family "Eukaryotic small subunit ribosomal RNA", at positions 1668 to 1823 of the family's 1831-position model. The record is from Rfam by way of RNAcentral. Lineage: Eukaryota; Metazoa; Platyhelminthes; Trematoda; Strigeidida; Schistosomatidae.
ACCGCCCGUCGCUACUACCGCUUGAAUGGUUUAAUGAGGUCGUUGAAUUGGUGUCGUUGUAGUGGCUUUGCUGUUCGAAUGACGCUGAGAAGAUGACUUAAUUUGACUAUUUAGAGGAAUUAAAAUUCGUAACAAGGUUUCUGUAGGUGAACCUACGGAAG